UGGAAAAGUGAUCGAGAGGAUUAAGAUGAUACUUUGCUAAAGUAUUGUGCCGUCAGGCACCGGGGGUUCGAAUCCCUCCUUUUCCGU
This 87-nucleotide transfer RNA is filed under the name Hungatella hathewayi. RNAcentral's name for it is "tRNA-Ser(gct)". It matches the Rfam family "tRNA". Rfam says of the family: Transfer RNA (tRNA) molecules are approximately 80 nucleotides in length. Their secondary structure includes four short double-helical elements and three loops (D, anti-codon, and T loops). Further hydrogen bonds mediate the characteristic L-shaped molecular structure. tRNAs have two regions of fundamental functional importance: the anti-codon, which is responsible for specific mRNA codon recognition, and the 3' end, to which the tRNAs corresponding amino acid is attached (by aminoacyl-tRNA synthetases). tRNAs cope with the degeneracy of the genetic code in two manners: having more than one tRNA (with a specific anti-codon) for a particular amino acid; and 'wobble' base-pairing, i.e. permitting non-standard base-pairing at the 3rd anti-codon position. RNAcentral also lists the same sequence under 1 other name. The record is from RNAcentral. Lineage: Bacteria; Bacillati; Bacillota; Clostridia; Lachnospirales; Lachnospiraceae.